Long non-coding RNA from Quercus lobata, 1357 nucleotides. RefSeq lists it as uncharacterized. NCBI's taxonomy places the organism in Eukaryota, Viridiplantae, Streptophyta, Magnoliopsida, Fagales, Fagaceae. The record is from RefSeq and is a predicted model, not a curated record. The transcript has 4 exons.
AACACUCAAACACAGGAAAAACACAGACAUCUCUUUUUUUCUCUCUUGCCGUCUCAUGUUCUCUCUCUCUCUACUUCUUUGCUACAUUCUUUCAAGUGAAGGCGAGAGUAGGAUAGGUUUUCUCUUCAUCUCUUUUCCCUGAAUUUAUCGUCAAGAUUUGGGCCUAUUUGAUUGGUUUUUUUUUUUCCUCUAGGAAUUUUUAGCACUAGCAUUAGGAAUGUUGUGAAAUCUGAACUGAAAUUUAGUAAUAUGCGGAUUCAGGUUUUGGAGAAGGCACUGGGUUUUUUUGGUUAAAUUGAGUUUAACUCAUUGAAUGUAUGAAUUGAUUGGUGAAUUUUCAGACUCAGGCAGCAAAGCAAUGGGAUCAAUCAGGGUCACGGUGACAUUGGAGUGCAUGAUUCCCGGAUGAGUCCAAAUGAUCUGCGUUUGAAACUGAUAAACAAAAGAAAGAUGAAGCGAAUUCCAAGGGUUUUUGAAGAGAGAAGGAAGAUGGACCAAAAGUCAAAUUGUCAAAAACUAUUCAGCCUUCAAGGCAUAACAUGCAGCAGCAAAGGUCUGAAUUAAAAGGACGUACUUUCUUGUGGCGAACGCCAGCCACAGAAAGACCUAGAUCCCCAAAUAGAAAUUUGAAAUCUUCUAGGGGACUCUCACCACAAAGAAAUUUCAAUGAGCUGCACCAAGUACCAUCGCUAAGGGUAGCUAAUAAUUCAAGAGCUGGAUGAUUUUUAAGCAAUGAUGGUGCUUCUAGGCCAACAGGACCUUUAAUUGUCAAAGGUCCUUAUACUUCAGACCUAGUCAUGUAGCUUACACCAAUAGGUGGCAUUGGGUAGAAAAGUUUUCAUUCGGUAUGAUUUUUCCCCCCUGCUACCCUGUGUUAGCUUAAUUUAAGAGGAUUUGGUUUGUAUUUGUGAGGUUAUCUAGAUUAACGGUUGUGUAUAAUUGGCAUUGGUCAUCUAAUGUUAUGUAUUCAUCAUGCUCUGUUGAAUGGAAUUUUAAAAGGUGGAAGAAUCUCACACUGUCACUAGCUUGUUGCAAUUGCUUGGUUUGGGGAAAUAUAACAUUCUCUUCCGGGCUGAAAAGGGACCGAGAAAGAAGAUUCUUCUUGCUCUGUGGCCUCGUUCUAGAUGAGAACAACCAUAGCUGCAAACAUUUAUUGCCUGCACUUUGGAGAGUAUUUGUUACAUCUGUAACUUAUAGCUUGAGUAAAUAUUGACAAGCAUGGGGAGUAUUAAGUAUUUUUUAAGUGGAGAUAUAAGUGUGUUGCUUUUCAAGAACCAGAAAUCUGUCUUGGAGAAAAAAAUGAAACGGUUUAUAUAUGUAAUGGCAUAUGGAAGAUUGUGCUAGUGAAACAUCUAAC